This 250-nucleotide ribosomal RNA is filed under the name uncultured bacterium. Its description in RNAcentral is "partial 16S ribosomal RNA". It matches the Rfam family "Bacterial small subunit ribosomal RNA", at positions 524 to 773 of the family's 1533-position model. The record is from RNAcentral.
GACAGAGGAUGCGAACGUUGCUCGGAUUUACUGGGCGUAAAGCGCGUGUAGGCGGUCUUGUAAGUCGGGUGUGAAAGCCCGGGGCUCAACCCCGGAAGUGCACCCGAUACUGCGAGACUGGGGUACUGAAGAGGAGAGCGGAAUUCCCGGUGUAGAGGUGAAAUUCGUAGAUAUCGGGAGGAACACCAGUGGCGAAGGCGGCUCUCUGGGCAGAUACCGACGCUGAGACGCGAAAGCGUGGGGAGCAAAC